RNAcentral lists this small RNA (583 nucleotides) under Pan troglodytes (chimpanzee). RNAcentral describes it as "retained intron". The record is from RNAcentral. Lineage: Eukaryota; Metazoa; Chordata; Mammalia; Primates; Hominidae.
GUUAAAGUGGGACAUUCAGAGAGAUGGUUAGAACUAUGUGGAAAUGACAAACAGAAGUUAAUACAGGUAAAGUGUAGAACAGCCCCCAAGUGCAUAGGAAAUGCUGCUAUUGCUAUUUCCUUAGCUGAAAAUAGGUGAAUUUUUUUUUCAUAUGUAGUAUUGCAGAAACUUGGAAAAACUGUCUGGAUGGUGCAACGGAUUUUAAAGAGUUAAUUCCAGAAUUCUAUGGUGAUGAUGUGAGCUUUCUAGUCAAUAGCCUGAAGUUGGAUUUGGGAAAGAGACAAGGAGGACAGAUGGUUGACGAUGUGGAGCUUCCCCCUUGGGCUUCCAGUCCCGAGGACUUUCUCCAGAAGAGCAAAGAUGCAUUGGAAAGCAAUUAUGUGUCUGAACACCUUCACGAGUGGAUUGAUCUAAUAUUUGGCUACAAACAAAAAGGGAGUGAUGCAGUUGGGGCCCAUAAUGUAUUUCAUCCCCUGACCUAUGAAGGAGGUGUAGACUUGAACAGCAUCCAGGAUCCUGAUGAGAAGGUAGCCAUGCUUACGCAAAUCUUGGAAUUUGGGCAGACACCAAAACAACUAUUUGU